RNAcentral lists this ribosomal RNA (254 nucleotides) under uncultured bacterium. RNAcentral describes it as "partial 16S ribosomal RNA". It matches the Rfam family "Bacterial small subunit ribosomal RNA", at positions 524 to 777 of the family's 1533-position model. The record is from RNAcentral.
UACGUAGGGUGCAAGCGUUGUCCGGAAUUAUUGGGCGUAAGGAGCUCGUAGGCGGUCUGUUGCGUCGGCUGUGAAAACCCGAGGCUCAACCUCGGGUCUGCAGUCGAUACGGGCAAACUAGAGUAUUGCAGGGGAGACUGGAAUUCCUGGUGUAGCGGUGAAAUGCGCAGAUAUCAGGAGGAACACCGGUGGCGAAGGCGGGUCUCUGGGCAAUAACUGACGCUGAGGAGCGAAAGCGUGGGGAGCGAACAGGA